AGAAUGCUCGCUUCGGGUGCGAGAGGUCCGGGGUUCAAGUCCCCGUGAGUCCCUGUUCGAUUCUGUUUUUGGCAGCCGUCCCGCGUACGACGUUCGCGGGAAACGGCAAGGAAGAGGCGCUUGGAAAUGGUCGCACUCGUUCCGCGCGGCAGACUUGCACCGUUCGACGAGACGCCCAACCUGCUUGCCACGAACGCACGUCCUUGCGUCCGUGCUCUACCCCUACCGGACUAUGGUGGGACAGGUUCACGUCCUUAACUCGGGCCUGCACACAAGAGGUUGGAGUCUCCGCGCACUGUCAUCAACACUCGCCUGUACUCGCUUCUGCUGCGACUGUUACCCGUUUCGCUCUCGUAUCUCUGGCUCAAAACGUCGGACUCUCUAGUUCCUGAAGCUGACUUGUCACAAAACCGGGCAUGGCGAUGGCAGCGUUCAUGUACCGAUUUCUUUGCUUCCAGCUGUUAACGACGCAAUUCAUGCUCAGGCAGCGCCGACAAAUUUUGGUCGCUUGCCAUCAGGAUCUUCACUUGAUAUAGCAUCGGUGCGCUCAUCGCAGCGGUGACACUUGACUGUGUUUGGUGUUCCCACAUGUCGAGCACAUCCGUCCUCCGGGGACGUCCCUGAUGCGCGUGAACGCCUGCUCCAUCGCCCGGCACAUGUGCCUGUGGCGGGUACAGGAGGCUCCGCUCGAUGCUGGCCUCCGAUUCCGCGCCUGUUGCGGUUACCAACGAUCACGGGCAACAGCAGCGCGAUCCUUUCGGCGGGUACGCUGCCUGCUGCACACGCAAGCGCAUCCUAUUCAAGUUACUAGAUGAUUUGCGGAGUACCGUCUUGUCCUUGAUGAAGAAUACACCGGAAGGAAAAUCCAGGCUGCAAAACAACUCGAGAAUUCUCUGUCUGUGUAUACGCCUAUAUGCAAAGCCGUGACGCAUGCUCCACUGGAAGCGAUCGCUCCGAUGACUCAAGUCGGAGUCGAAGACACUUUUCCAUUCAAACAGGAGAGAUGGGGGCCUCAGGGAGCAUACAAUCCGUACUUGAUGCCAUGCUGCUGUCGAAUGCGGUUCUCUGAAUGCUCACAAACAGCGAUGGAUUUGUCCUUUAAGUGGAAUCGAUUAUUUGGCGUCGCAUAUUCAGUGCAGUUUCGGAAUGCGCCUGUGAAGAAGUCCCCAAUGAAAGUACUUGAUUUUUUGGUAUUCAAUCCAGCGGUGCCAAGCGCAGUGCCCACGAGCUGCUUUGGCACAGAAUGGUCGAAGAUUCAAGAAGAAUCGUAGAUUUGAGCAUGGGAUGUGCAAGGAAAGUGCAGUAGUCUAGGCUAGAGCGUGUGAAUUGAAUGCUAAUGUCGAUUGUAUUGGGAGCUCGUGCUCGAGGUAGUGGCGAAUCGAUCAUCUUACUUUCGUUGAAGCACCGAAUUCCAGUGGCAGAGCUUCAAAGGAACCAGUAGGAACCAACGACGGAGCUUCCUUGAACUAGCUGUAAAUCCGUAGGCGCUCA
This is an RNA transcript of Cyanidioschyzon merolae strain 10D, 1491 nucleotides long. RefSeq lists it as hypothetical. Lineage: Eukaryota; Rhodophyta; Bangiophyceae; Cyanidiales; Cyanidiaceae. The transcript has 2 exons. The record is from RefSeq and is a predicted model, not a curated record.